GUGCUUGCUUUGGAAGCACAUACACUAAAAUGGGAAUGACACAGAGAAGAUCAUCAUGGAUCCUGAACAUUUGUGAAGAAUUCUAUAUUUUC
Molecule: small nuclear RNA, 92 nt
Filed under: Sciurus vulgaris (Eurasian red squirrel)
Lineage: Eukaryota; Metazoa; Chordata; Mammalia; Rodentia; Sciuridae
Source: RNAcentral